Molecule: ribosomal RNA, 782 nt
Filed under: Streptomyces sp.
Lineage: Bacteria; Bacillati; Actinomycetota; Actinomycetes; Kitasatosporales; Streptomycetaceae
Description: bacterial SSU rRNA
Rfam family: Bacterial small subunit ribosomal RNA
Source: RNAcentral
UGCAGUCGACGAUGAACCACUUCGGUGGGGAUUAGUGGCGAACGGGUGAGUAACACGUGGGCAAUCUGCCCUGCACUCUGGGACAAGCCCUGGAAACGGGGUCUAAUACCGGAUACUGACCCGCUUGGGCAUCCAAGCGGUUCGAAAGCUCCGGCGGUGCAGGAUGAGCCCGCGGCCUAUCAGCUUGUUGGUGAGGUAAUGGCUCACCAAGGCGACGACGGGUAGCCGGCCUGAGAGGGCGACCGGCCACACUGGGACUGAGACACGGCCCAGACUCCUACGGGAGGCAGCAGUGGGGAAUAUUGCACAAUGGGCGAAAGCCUGAUGCAGCGACGCCGCGUGAGGGAUGACGGCCUUCGGGUUGUAAACCUCUUUCAGCAGGGAAGAAGCGAAAGUGACGGUACCUGCAGAAGAAGCGCCGGCUAACUACGUGCCAGCAGCCGCGGUAAUACGUAGGGCGCGAGCGUUGUCCGGAAUUAUUGGGCGUAAAGAGCUCGUAGGCGGCUUGUCACGUCGGUUGUGAAAGCCCGGGGCUUAACCCCGGGUCUGCAGUCGAUACGGGCAGGCUAGAGUUCGGUAGGGGAGAUCGGAAUUCCUGGUGUAGCGGUGAAAUGCGCAGAUAUCAGGAGGAACACCGGUGGCGAAGGCGGAUCUCUGGGCCGAUACUGACGCUGAGGAGCGAAAGCGUGGGGAGCGAACAGGAUUAGAUACCCUGGUAGUCCACGCCGUAAACGGUGGGCACUAGGUGUGGGCGACAUUCCACGUCGUCCGUGCCGCAGCUA